RNAcentral lists this ribosomal RNA (392 nucleotides) under uncultured Lactobacillus sp. RNAcentral describes it as "bacterial SSU rRNA". It matches the Rfam family "Bacterial small subunit ribosomal RNA", at positions 151 to 524 of the family's 1533-position model. The record is from RNAcentral. Lineage: Bacteria; Bacillati; Bacillota; Bacilli; Lactobacillales; Lactobacillaceae.
GGGAAACAGAUGCUAAUACCGGAUAAUAACAAGAUGAUGCCUAUCAACUGUUUAAAAAGAUAGGUUCUGCUAUCACUCUUGGGAUGGACCUGCGGUGCAUUAGCUAGUUGGUAGGGUAACGGCCUACCAAGGCGAUGAUGCAUAGCCGAGUUGAGAGACUGAUCGGCCACAUUGGGACUGAGACACGGCCCAAAACUCCUACGGGAGGCAGCAGUAGGGAAUCUUCCACAAUGGACGCAAGUCUGAUGGAGCAACGCCGCGUGAGUGAAGUAAGGGUUUCGGCUCGUAAAGCUCUGUUGUUGGUGAAGAAGGACAGGGGUAGUAACUGACCUUUGUUUGACGGUAAUCAAUUAGAAAGUCACGGCUAACUACGUGCCAGCAGCCGCGGUAAU